CAACUAAUGAUCAUGAUGAUUUCAUUGUGAGAUGCAUGUUUAUCUGCAAGUUAUUGGAAUUGAUUACAAUAUACCUGUUACUGAUGGCACAAACAAUCCUAACAAAAUCUCCAAUGUACGGAACCUGGCUCGUUGGCAGGAUUUUCCCAAGUUGACAUCUGCCUGUCUCCAUGAGCCAUAAAGGAUGGCAUCUGUGCCUUGAUACCUAGUUCCUCCAAGUAAUCCAAGGAGUCUCUGAAACCACGGUCCACCACAAAUACAUCAUCCUCGCAAACCCAUCCC
Molecule: long non-coding RNA, 282 nt
Organism: Ostrea edulis (European flat oyster)
Lineage: Eukaryota; Metazoa; Mollusca; Bivalvia; Ostreida; Ostreidae
Exons: 3
Source: RefSeq, a predicted model, not a curated record